GAUGAACGCUGGCGGCGUGCCUAAUACAUGCAAGUCGAGCGAACGGACGAGAAGCUUGCUUUUCUGAUGUUAGCGGCGGACGGGUGAGUAACACGUGGAUAACCUACCUAUAAGACUGGGAUAACUUCGGGAAACCGGAGCUAAUACCGGAUAAUAUGUUGAACCGCAUGGUUCAAAAGUGAAAGACGGUCUUGCUGUCACUUAUAGAUGGAUCCGCGCUGCAUUAGCUAGUUGGUAAGGUAACGGCUUACCAAGGCAACGAUGCAUAGCCGACCUGAGAGGGUGAUCGGCCACACUGGAACUGAGACACGGUCCAGACUCCUACGGGAGGCAGCAGUAGGGAAUCUGCCGCAAUGGGCGAAAGCCUGACGGAGCAACGCCGCGUGAGUGAUGAAGGUCUUCGGAUCGUAAAACUCUGUUAUUAGGGAAGAACAUAUGUGUAAGUAACUGUGCACAUCUUGACGGUACCUAAUCAGAAAGCCACGGCUAAGUACGUG
This 497-nucleotide ribosomal RNA is filed under the name uncultured bacterium. RNAcentral describes it as "partial 16S ribosomal RNA". It matches the Rfam family "Bacterial small subunit ribosomal RNA", at positions 28 to 507 of the family's 1533-position model. The record is from RNAcentral.